GGUUAAGCGACUAAGCGUACACGGUGGAUGCCCUGGCAGUCAGAGGCGAUGAAGGACGUGCUAAUCUGCGAUAAGCGUCGGUAAGGUGAUAUGAACCGUUAUAACCGGCGAUUUCCGAAUGGGGAAACCCAGUGUGAUUCGUCACACUAUCAUUAACUGAAUCCAUAGGUUAAUGAGGCGAACCGGGGGAACUGAAACAUCUAAGUACCCCGAGGAAAAGAAAUCAACCGAGAUUCCCCCAGUAGCGGCGAGCGAACGGGGAGCAGCCCAGAGCCUGAAUCAGUGUGUGUGUUAGUGGAAGCGUCUGGAAAGGCGCGCGAUACAGGGUGACAGCCCCGUACACAAAAAUGCACAUACUGUGAGCUCGAUGAGUAGGGCGGGACACGUGGUAUCCUGUCUGAAUAUGGGGGGACCAUCCUCCAAGGCUAAAUACUCCUGACUGACCGAUAGUGAACCAGUACCGUGAGGGAAAGGCGAAAAGAACCCCGGCGAGGGGAGUGAAAAAGAACCUGAAACCGUGUACGUACAAGCAGUGGGAGCACAGAGCAAUCUGUGUGACUGCGUACCUUUUGUAUAAUGGGUCAGCGACUUAUAUUCUGUAGCAAGGUUAACCGAAUAGGGGAGCCGAAGGGAAACCGAGUCUUAACUGGGCGUUAAGUUGCAGGGUAUAGACCCGAAACCCGGUGAUCUAGCCAUGGGCAGGUUGAAGGUUGGGUAACACUAACUGGAGGACCGAACCGACUAAUGUUGAAAAAUUAGCGGAUGACUUGUGGCUGGGGGUGAAAGGCCAAUCAAACCGGGAGAUAGCUGGUUCUCCCCGAAAGCUAUUUAGGUAGCGCCUCGUGAAUUCAUCUCCGGGGGUAGAGCACUGUUUCGGCAAGGGGGUCAUCCCGACUUACCAACCCGAUGCAAACUGCGAAUACCGGAGAAUGUUAUCACGGGAGACACACGGCGGGUGCUAACGUCCGUCGUGAAGAGGGAAACAACCCAGACCGCCAGCUAAGGUCCCAAAGUCAUGGUUAAGUGGGAAACGAUGUGGGAAGGCCCAGACAGCCAGGAUGUUGGCUUAGAAGCAGCCAUCAUUUAAAGAAAGCGUAAUAGCUCACUGGUCGAGUCGGCCUGCGCGGAAGAUGUAACGGGGCUAAACCAUG
RNAcentral lists this ribosomal RNA (1151 nucleotides) under Escherichia coli. Its description in RNAcentral is "partial 23S ribosomal RNA". It matches the Rfam family "Bacterial large subunit ribosomal RNA", at positions 1 to 1191 of the family's 2925-position model. Lineage: Bacteria; Pseudomonadati; Pseudomonadota; Gammaproteobacteria; Enterobacterales; Enterobacteriaceae. The record is from RNAcentral.